UUAGAGUUUGCUUUUGGCUCAGGAUGAACGCUAGCGGCAGGCUUAACACAUGCAAGUCGAGGGGCAGCGAGAUCAGUGCUUGCACUGAUUGUCGGCGACCGGCGCACGGGUGCGUAACGCGUAUGCAACCUACCCAUUACAGGGGGAUAACACUGAGAAAUCGGUACUAAUACCCCAUAACAUCCAGGGAGGCAUCUUCUUGGGUUGAAAACUCCGGUGGUAAUGGAUGGGCAUGCGUUGUAUUAGUUAGUUGGUGGGGUAACGGCCCACCAAGACAACGAUACAUAGGCGGACUGAGAGGUUAACCCCCCACAUUGGUACUGAGACACGGACCAAACUCCUACGGGAGGCAGCAGUGAGGAAUAUUGGUCAAUGGACGCAAGUCUGAACCAGCCAUGCCGCGUGCAGGAAGACGGCUCUAUGAGUUGUAAACUGCUUUUGUACGAGGGUAAACGCAGAUACGCGUAUCUGUCUGAAAGUAUCGUACGAAUAAGGAUCGGCUAACUCCGUGCCAGCAGCCGCGGUAACACGGAGGAUUCAAGCGUUAUCCGGAUUUAUUGGGUUUAAAGGGUGCGUAGGCGGUCGGAUAAGUUAUGAGGUGAAAUCCCGGGGCUCAACUUCGGAAUUGCCUCUGAUACUGUUCGGCUAGAGAGUAGUUGCGGUAGGCGGAAUGUAUGGUGUAGCGGUGAAAUGCUUAGAGAUCAUACAGAACACCGAUUGCGAAGGCAGCUUACCAAGCUACUUCUGGCGUUGAGGCACGAAAGCGUGGGGAGCAAACAGGAUUAGAUACCCUGGUAGUCCACGCAGUAAACGAUGAUAACUCGUUGUCGGCGAUACAGUGUCGGUGACUAAGCGAAAGCGAUAAGUUAUCCACCUGGGGAGUACGUUCGCAAGAAUGAAACUCAAAGGAAUUGACGGGGGCCCGCACAAGCGGAGGAACAUGUGGUUUAAUUCGAUGAUACGCGAGGAACCUUACCCGGGCUUGAAAGUUAGUGACGGAUCUUGAAAGAGGUCUUCCCUUCGGGGCACGAAACUAGGUGCUGCAUGGUUGUCGUCAGCUCGUGCCGUGAGGUGUCGGGUUAAGUCCCAUAACGAGCGCAACCCCUACCGUUAGUUGCCAGCAGGUCAAGCUGGGCACUCUGACGGGACUGCCGGUGUAAGCCGAGAGGAAGGUGGGGAUGACGUCAAAUCAGCACGGCCCUUACGUCCGGGGCUACACACGUGUUACAAUGGCAGGUACAGAGGGCAGCUACCCAGCGAUGGGAUGCGAAUCUCGAAAGCCUGUCCCAGUUCGGAUUGGAGGCUGAAACCCGCCUCCAUGAAGUUGGAUUCGCUAGUAAUCGCGCAUCAGCCAUGGCGCGGUGAAUACGUUCCCGGGCCUUGCACACACCGCCCGUCA
This 1399-nucleotide ribosomal RNA is filed under the name uncultured bacterium. RNAcentral describes it as "16S ribosomal RNA". It matches the Rfam family "Bacterial small subunit ribosomal RNA". The record is from RNAcentral.